Molecule: ribosomal RNA, 94 nt
Filed under: Salmonella enterica
Lineage: Bacteria; Pseudomonadati; Pseudomonadota; Gammaproteobacteria; Enterobacterales; Enterobacteriaceae
Description: partial 16S ribosomal RNA
Rfam family: Bacterial small subunit ribosomal RNA
Source: RNAcentral
AAAUUGAAGAGUUUGAUCAUGGCUCAGAUUGAACGCUGGCGGCAGGCCUAACACAUGCAAGUAGAACGGUAACAGGAAGCAGCUUGCUGCUUCG